UACAGAGGGUGCAAGCGUUAAUCGGAAUUACUGGGCGUAAAGAGCACGUAGGCGGUCGUGUAAGUCAGAUGUGAAAUCCCCGGGCUUAACCUGGGAACUGCAUUUGAUACUGCAUGACUAGAGUAGGGCAGAGGAAAGUGGAAUUUCCGGUGUAGCGGUGAAAUGCGUAGAGAUCGGAAGGAACACCAGUGGCGAAGGCGACUUUCUGGGUUCAUACUGACGCUGAGGUGCGAAAGCGUGGGGAGCAAACAGG
Molecule: ribosomal RNA, 253 nt
Filed under: uncultured bacterium
Lineage: Bacteria
Description: partial 16S ribosomal RNA
Rfam family: Bacterial small subunit ribosomal RNA
Source: RNAcentral